Molecule: RNA transcript, 1903 nt
Organism: Pipistrellus kuhlii (Kuhl's pipistrelle)
Lineage: Eukaryota; Metazoa; Chordata; Mammalia; Chiroptera; Vespertilionidae
Gene: RAD23A
Gene name: RAD23 homolog A, nucleotide excision repair protein
Exons: 9
Source: RefSeq, a predicted model, not a curated record
CACCUGCCCCGGAAGCGGUCGGCUAGCGGUGCGGCUGGGCACUAAGAUGGCGGCGGCGUGAGUUGCAUGUUGUGAGAGGGUCCCGGGGCCGCCGCUUCGCUCGGGCCCCGCCAUGGCCGUCACCAUCACGCUCAAGACACUGCAGCAGCAGACUUUUAAGAUCCGCAUGGAGCCUGAUGAGACGGUGAAGGUGCUAAAGGAGAAGAUAGAAGCUGAAAAGGGUCGUGAUGCCUUUCCUGUGGCUGGACAGAAACUCAUCUAUGCUGGCAAGAUCCUGAGUGACGAGGUCCCCAUCAGGGACUAUCACAUAGAUGAGAAGAACUUUGUGGUUGUCAUGGUGACCAAGGCCAAAAACAGCUCAGGCACCUCAGUACCCCCAGAGGCCUCAACCACUGCUGCCCCUGAGUCCUCCACCUCCUUCCCGCUGGCCCCUGCCUCAGGCAUGUCCCAUAUCCCACCUACCGUCAGAGAGGACAGGAGUCCAUCGGAGGAAUCAGUCCCCACGGCAUCCCCGGAGUCUGUGUCAGGCUCUGUUCCUUCUUCAGGUAGCAGCGGGAGAGAGGAUGACGCAGCCUCCACGCUAGUGACUGGCUCUGAAUAUGAGACGAUGCUGACGGAGAUCAUGUCCAUGGGCUAUGAUCGGGAACGGGUCGUGGCCGCCCUGAGAGCCAGCUACAACAACCCCCACCGAGCCGUGGAGUAUCUACUCACGGGAAUUCCUGGGAGUCCCGAGCCAGAACAUGGUUCUGUCCAGGAGAGCCAAGUGUCUGAGCAGCCGGCCACAGAACCAGCCGGAGAGAACCCCCUGGAGUUCCUGCGGGACCAGCCCCAGUUCCAGAAUAUGCGGCAGGUGAUUCAGCAGAACCCAGCGCUGCUGCCUGCCCUGCUUCAGCAGCUGGGCCAGGAAAACCCACAGCUUCUGCAGGUGCGGCCCUGGGGGCUCAGAGGGAGCCAGUGUGGCCAAUGCCUCUCCUCCCCAUGGGAACCAAAACCUGAAAGGAGGAGCCUGGUCCGGGACCUUUCAAAUCAGCCGGCACCAGGAGCAGUUCAUCCAGAUGCUGAAUGAGCCCCCUGGGGAGCUGGCGGACAUCUCUGACAUUGAGGGUGAGGUGGGUGCCAUAGGCGAGGAGGCCCCGCAGAUGAACUACAUCCAGGUGACGCCUCAGGAGAAGGAAGCUAUAGAGAGGUUGAAGGCCUUGGGCUUCCCAGAGAGCCUGGUGAUCCAGGCCUACUUCGCCUGUGAAAAAAACGAGAACUUGGCUGCCAACUUCCUCCUGAGUCAGAACUUUGAUGAUGAGUGAUGCCAGGAAGCCAGGCUGCCUACUGCCCCACCCUACCCCCAAAUCUACAAACGUUUUAUAAAAGAAAUAUAUAUAUAUAUAUAUAUAUAUUCAUGUUUAUUUAAGAAGUGGAAAAAAAGAAAAAAAUCUUUAAAACACACAACCACCCAACUUCCCAGCCUCCUGAAAUGGCUCCUAUUCCCAUCUUAGCCUGAGACGACCUGGGCUAGACAGCUGUCCCCCCAUUCCCUGCCUUAGCUCAGCCUGCUCCUGCUCUAAGGAGCUGGCAGGACCGGGGGUGACAGAUGGGCCCCUCUUGGCCUCUGUCCCAGCUCCCUGCAGCCAGAUGGAGAAGCGGCUGCUUGCUUCCCCAUUCCCCAAAGGGUGAGGGGAAGCUGGAGCCCCAAACUUUGAUCCUCUGUUGGAAUGGCCCAAACCUUCCCAUCUGGGGUGAGCACAUUCUGGCCUUGGCCUCCAGCCUGCAUCACUUCAUUGGGAGGAAGCGGCCAGGCUUCUGCCUGGGGAAGGGGUAACAUCAGAGCUGCUCUGGAGGUCAAGGCCACCCCAGAACAGAACCCUGUCUCUGCUAAAGGUUUUGAAGUGAAUAAACUUUUAAAAGCCCA